Camelina sativa (false flax) is the source of this 592-nucleotide non-coding RNA. The record is from RefSeq and is a predicted model, not a curated record. NCBI's taxonomy places the organism in Eukaryota, Viridiplantae, Streptophyta, Magnoliopsida, Brassicales, Brassicaceae.
CUUCCCCAACGCGUCAGAAGAUGGAGGAGACAACGUUCGACGACAGAUAAUUCCGAAGACGGAACACUGGAAGAGAUUCAACUGUUCUAUGAUGAGUGGGAUAAAAGCAAGGGUUUUGAUAUCGACUUCUGGCAACCUUUGGAUCUGGACGACAGUACAAUGGUUCGCGAGCCUCAAACCAACAGAGAUUUUAUCGCCAAGUUGUCCAAUCUGGCUCUCACCAAGCACAACGCAGACAACGGAACAAGGCUUGAAUUGGGCAAGAUUUUGAGGGCAAACUUCCAUCCAUAUGCCGGAAUCACUUUAUACAUCUCUUUCGAAGUCAAUGAUCCGUCUGAUGAUGCUAAUCAGACCAAGCCCUAUAGAGCAGUGGUUCGCUACUUAGCCGGAGAUCUUGAAGUACACUCUUGCAAGCCUAAACCCUCUUUGUGAAUUUUGUUAGAGGUUUGUUGUGGUAUAUCUGCAAGCUCAAGAGGGCAGAAAAGUGUUUGCUUUGUCCUUCAACAUCGAUUUUUGUAUGGUUUGGUGUUGGUGUUUCAUCAUGUCAUUAAUUAGCCAAGUUAUGUAUUUGGGUAGAUAUGAAUAAUUUAGU